This is a long non-coding RNA of Cephus cinctus (wheat stem sawfly), 928 nucleotides long. RefSeq lists it as uncharacterized. The record is from RefSeq and is a predicted model, not a curated record. Lineage: Eukaryota; Metazoa; Arthropoda; Insecta; Hymenoptera; Cephidae. The transcript has 4 exons.
AUGCCAAAGCAUAAUGUCGCGAAAAGAGUUCUUCAGCCUAAUUACGAAAAACAGCACAGCAUAAUGGAGAAUCCGACCACCCGACGAGCGACAAAGAGAGCAGAAGUUGAAAAAACUCCAAUUUAUUGCCACAGUUAUUGAGCAGUUCCAAAUAGAAGUCUAAAAUCGUACGAUGGCGAUGGUCUUGAAAUCCAAUAAGAAAAAAAAAACGCAAUCUUCUCGCUUGUAAUCGACUGGGGUACCUAACCGGGGACGGCUUAUUAGUUCCCAAAAUGACAAGCAAGCAUAUUCUCCAGCAGGGCCACCCUGUAAAAAAAAGAGUAUCAUCUCAAGAUUACAGAAGACAGACAUUGAAGUUUUACGAUUCUCAGCGUGAAGAAAAGAAAAGUAAAUAGUUAAAGAAAUGUGAAGGAAUGAGCCGUGUAAAAAAAGUGGUAAGAAGAAAAUUGAGCUAUCAGGCCGAAGAUUGGCAGCAAUCUCGCUUGUAUAAGAUUGGCAAGAAAGGAAAAGAGAAAGAGAAACAGUGAAUGAGCGACGAGUCAAGAGAGACAAAGGAGGAUGAAGAGAGGCGUCAGAUAAAAGACAAUAACCAGACGAGACGUGGCUUCAAACUUGGGUAAACAGUGAAAUCUCAGAAAGCGAAGGAAAAGGGUACGUAACAAACACGAAUGGAAUGAACAAAUGAUAACGAAUGAAUGAAGAAAGAAAGGACGGAAGGAAGGAAGGAAGGAAGGAUGGAAUGAGCGGAGGAAGCCACCGGCCUUGUUUCAUUGCCUCGAGGAUGGCGCAGUCUGUUCGUGAAUUGCUUGCGGCUGUAGCCAUAGCAGAAUCUCGCGAGAUGACAAAGGGGAAUCACGUGCUGGGACCACGAAGACGGGGUACAGGUAACGGACAGACAGGGUGGAGUACUGGAAAAUGUAUGACCGGG